Molecule: long non-coding RNA, 1010 nt
Organism: Chelonia mydas (Green sea turtle)
Lineage: Eukaryota; Metazoa; Chordata; Testudines; Cheloniidae
Exons: 3
Source: RefSeq, a predicted model, not a curated record
GAGCAGAGGAGACCAAUAAAAACAGUGUUAAUUUACAAAAUCACAGCAGAUACGGAGGACUGGGAAAACGAGGGCCUCUUGGAGAUUUUAGAACACCUUGAAAGAUUGCAGAACUCAGAGGUCCCUAUGGCAUCCCAGCAAACAAAACAGACCAUGAAACAUCAAGAAAUUACAUAAUUAGUUCAUGUUUGUAUAGCGCGUUGAGCAGGCAAAUUGCCAGCACCCAGCGAGUGCUGGGCGAUGUACAAUGCGCAGAAGCAAGCUCCGUGCUGAAUGAGAUUGUUGCCUGCACAGAAAGAUGACACACUGGGAGACUUGGAGGAAUAUAAGAACUGCAGUGACAGAGCAGAUCAGUCCUCCGUCUAGUCCAGCAUCCUUUUUUGGACCGUGACCAGCACCAGAUGGAAGGUCCAACCUAUCCCCAGGGAAAUUUCCUCCUCAUCCCCAGUCAUUAGAAAUUGGUUUAAACCCUGAAGCAUGAGGGUUUAGAUCCCUUCCAAAACUCUUAGUCUUUGUUCAUUUUGUAUUUACUAUUCUAAUUCUGGAUGUUCUUAUUCAUAUAAACACCCUGUUCCUUCUUGACUCCUGCUAAACUUGUGACCUCAAUACUAUCUUGUGGCAAUGAGUUCCAUAGGAAAACUGUGCAGUGUGUGUGUGUGUGUGUGUGAAUAUUUCCUUCUAUUGGUUUUGCAUGUGCCACCUUUCAGUUCUGUUGACUAACAUCUUAGCAGGUUAUGUCUUAAAAGAGGAAUAUCUAAGCUGAGGAUGCAGGGACAUGGGCACCAGCACAGUAUCCAGAAUGGAAACAAAUAUACACUAGAGAGGUUAUUGGCAUCUAUAAAUCCUGUCUGCCACAGCAUCUGCCAAACUUUUUGGAGACCAGCCUUCUGAGCUCCUAGUCCGCUCUGCAUACAAUGUCUGCAUUUGUGCUAUUGUGACAACAUUUUGGGAAGAGUUUGAUUGGUUCAUCCGUGUCACGUGGUGGAUGAGCACUAGGUAAUGUGGACAUU